UGCGUAGGCGGGCUAAUAAGUCAGUGGUGAAAUCUCUCGGCUCAACCGGGAAACUGCCAUUGAUACUGUUAGUCUUGAGUUCGGUUGAGGUAGGCGGAAUGUGUAAUGUAGCGGUGAAAUGCUUAGAUAUUACACAGAACACCAAUUGCGUAGGCAGCUUACUAGACCGACACUGACUCUGAGGCACGAAAGCGUGGGGAGCGAACAGGAUUAGAUACCCUGGUAGUCC
RNAcentral lists this ribosomal RNA (229 nucleotides) under uncultured bacterium. RNAcentral describes it as "partial 16S ribosomal RNA". It matches the Rfam family "Bacterial small subunit ribosomal RNA", at positions 568 to 796 of the family's 1533-position model. The record is from RNAcentral.